RNAcentral lists this small nucleolar RNA (101 nucleotides) under Olea europaea subsp. europaea. RNAcentral describes it as "Small nucleolar RNA snoR100". It matches the Rfam family "Small nucleolar RNA snoR100". Lineage: Eukaryota; Viridiplantae; Streptophyta; Magnoliopsida; Lamiales; Oleaceae. The record is from Rfam by way of RNAcentral.
UUAUGAAGGAAGCAUAGUAUUGUGGAAAGAGAAUGAAGAUUAAGGUCGGCAUGUCUACUCCUCUGACUUUAUAUGAUUUGGGGACCUCUGAUUCUAUAUGU